Molecule: ribosomal RNA, 393 nt
Filed under: uncultured bacterium
Lineage: Bacteria
Description: partial 16S ribosomal RNA
Rfam family: Bacterial small subunit ribosomal RNA
Source: RNAcentral
AUACGGAGGAUCCGAGCGUUAUCCGGAUUUAUUGGGUUUAAAGGGUGCGUAGGUGGUUUGAUAAGUCAGCGGUGAAAGUUUGCAGCUUAACUGUAAAAAUGCCGUUGAAACUGUCGGACUUGAGUGUAAAUGAGGUAGGCGGAAUGCGUGGUGUAGCGGUGAAAUGCAUAGAUAUCACGCAGAACUCCGAUUGCGAAGGAAGCUUACUAAGCUACAACUGACACUGAAGCACGAAAGCGUGGGGAUCAAACAGGAUUAGAUACCCUGGUAGUCCACGCAGUAAACGAUGAUUACUAGCUGUUUGCGAUACACAGUAAGCGGCACAGCGAAAGCGUUAAGUAAUCCACCUGGGGAGUACGCCGGCAACGGUGAAACUCAAAGGAAUUGACGGGG